UGGUUCGUGUGAGGCUCGCGAGUGUCGCGCGGUGUGGGCGACGUACGAGCAGCGACGAGAGUCUUGGUGAAGGGUUCGUGUGGUGCGAAUUCUGUCGAGCACAAGGGUGCGAGUCCGCCGGAAUUCUUGUGCGAAAAGUGGGUCGAGUGCUGCGACAAGGGUCGUGGUGUUGAGGGUUUCGUGCGCGUGAGUGGUGUGGUCUUCGGUCGCCGGAAUUCUUUCGCCGGCGAUUUCUAACGGUCCCAAUUUCAUAAGCGGCUCGUUCUAUUAAGUCAGCGAAAAUUCUCCGUUACAAGACUAGGUGAGCUGGUGCUGCUGCAUGACAUCAAGCAUAUGGGGGCUAGACUGUAGUUUGAAGUUAAUUUUUGGUUUGAUCAUUAAUGAAUUUUAUAGAACAUUAUUACAUGGUUUGAGUUUGAAUAAAGAGGG
Long non-coding RNA from Beta vulgaris subsp. vulgaris (sugar beet), 429 nucleotides. RefSeq lists it as uncharacterized. The record is from RefSeq and is a predicted model, not a curated record. Lineage: Eukaryota; Viridiplantae; Streptophyta; Magnoliopsida; Caryophyllales; Amaranthaceae. The transcript is spliced from 3 exons.